This 482-nucleotide ribosomal RNA is filed under the name uncultured bacterium. RNAcentral describes it as "partial 16S ribosomal RNA". It matches the Rfam family "Bacterial small subunit ribosomal RNA", at positions 30 to 507 of the family's 1533-position model. The record is from RNAcentral.
AUUGAACGCUGGCGGCAUGCCUUACACAUGCAAGUCGAACGGUAACAGGUCUUCGGAUGCUGACGAGUGGCGAACGGGUGAGUAAUACAUCGGAACGUGCCCGAUCGUGGGGGAUAACGAGGCGAAAGCUUUGCUAAUACCGCAUACGAUCUACGGAUGAAAGCGGGGGAUCUUCGGCCCUCGCGCGGACGAAGGGGCCGAUGGCAGAUUAGGUAGUUGGUGGGAUAAAAGCUUACCAAGCCGACGAUCUGUAGCUGGUCUGAGAGGAUGAUCAGCCACACUGGGACUGAGACACGGCCCAGACUCCUACGGGAGGCAGCAGUGGGGAAUUUUGGACAAUGGGCGAAAGCCUGAUCCAGCCAUGCCGCGUGCAGGAUGAAGGCCUUCGGGUUGUAAACUGCUUUUGUACGGAACGAAAAGCCUCUUUCUAAUAAAGAGGGGUCAUGACGGUACCGUAAGAAUAAGCACCGGCUAACUACGUG